Molecule: ribosomal RNA, 253 nt
Filed under: uncultured bacterium
Lineage: Bacteria
Description: partial 16S ribosomal RNA
Rfam family: Bacterial small subunit ribosomal RNA
Source: RNAcentral
UACAGAGGGUGCAAGCGUUAGGCGGAAUCACUGGGCUUAAAGCGUGUGUAGGCGGAUCGUUAAGUGUCUUGUGAAAUCCCACGGCUCACCCGUGGAACGGCUGGGCAUACUGGCGAUCUUGGGCCAACUAGGGGCAACUGGAACAAGCGGUGGAGCGGUGAAAUGCGUAGAUAUCGCUUGGAACGCCAAAGGUGAAAACAGGUUGCUGGGGUUGUGCCGACGCUGAGACACGAAAGCCAGGGGAGCAAACGGG